Molecule: non-coding RNA, 303 nt
Organism: Pelobates cultripes (western spadefoot toad)
Lineage: Eukaryota; Metazoa; Chordata; Amphibia; Anura; Pelobatidae
Source: the annotation of a GenBank genome assembly
CCUCCCUGCUCACCUACCAUCUACCUAUAAGAUCAACUUCCCUCCUCUAGUUGACUCAAUCACAAAAGACCUACAUAGAUGGCACAAACCAGGCUUUGGGUUAAUGUCCCGGGUAAACAUACUCAAAAUGAACAUUCUCCCCCGUAUCCUCUACCUCCUUCAAACGAUUCCACUCAAACUCCCAGCUAAACUCUUCCUCUCUCUUAAGUCACUAUUUUUGAAAUUUAUUUGGGCCCACAAACCCCCACGCCUAGCAUACCAUACAUUAACUAAAAAACAGGAUCAAGGGGGUCUAAACCUUCC